This 1871-nucleotide long non-coding RNA is filed under the name Nicotiana tabacum (common tobacco). Its description in RNAcentral is "long non-coding RNA (NTAB_LNC017232)". Lineage: Eukaryota; Viridiplantae; Streptophyta; Magnoliopsida; Solanales; Solanaceae. The record is from RNAcentral.
GUUGGGACUGUCUUGGGUUCGAUAUCCAAUCUUAAUAACGGUCUCUUUGCUCUCCUUGGUGCUGCCUCCUUCCUCGGGGGUACUAUGAGGAUGACUGUAUCCAUCUGUGUCAUACUACUUGAGCUCACCGAUGACCUGCUAAUGCUUCCAUUGGUGAUGCUUGUGCUCCUUGUUUCAAAGACUGUGGCCGACUGUUUUAACAAGGGUGUCUACGACCAGACUGUGAAAAUGAAAGGCUUGCCUUAUUUGGAAGCACAUGCCGAACCAUACAUGAGGCAAUUAGUUGCAGGAGAUGUUUGUUCAGGGCCUUUAAUUACAUUCUCAGGUGUUGAGAAGGUAGGGAACAUAAUACAUGCUUUGAAGUUUACUAGACACAACGGAUUUCCCGUGAUUGAUGCACCGCCAUUCUCAGACGCACCAGAGUUCUGUGGACUUGCUCUAAGGUCGCACCUACUUGUUUUGCUCAAAGGAAAGAAAUUCACGAAACUAAGUGUAUUGAGCGGCUCCAGUAUUUUGAGGAGUUUUCAUGCGUUUGAUUUCGCUAAGCCAGGAUCAGGGAAGGGGCCUAAGCUCGAGGAUUUGUCCUUCACUGAUGAGGAGAUGGAAAUGUAUGUAGAUCUCCAUCCUGUCACAAAUACAUCUCCAUACACAGUAGUGGAAACCAUGUCUCUGGCCAAAGCUGCAAUCCUUUUUCGACAACUUGGUCUUAGACACUUGUGUGUUGUACCAAAAAAGACUACCGGGGUAAGUCGUUCUUUUCGCUUCUCAUCCCCGGCCCUCCAAGAUAAUGAUAUGUACAUGUCCAUAAUAAGUAGGAUUAGAAUCUAAAUAAUAAGAUAAUUUACUUGCUACAACAGGUUAAAAUUUGUUAAAUCCGAAAAAAUGACAUACUUCCAUAACAUAACAAAAUUACCAUAUGAUUGUUUUGACAUAUAGUUUGAUAUUUCUGAUGUUUGUUUCUGCAUUCAACUUACACAACACUAGUUCUAAAGAUUUAGCUCUUUUAAAUUUGCAGAGGGAUCCAAUCGUUGGAAUUUUGACAAGGCAUGACUUUAUGCCAGAGCAUAUAAAGGGACUGUACCCACAUUUGGUCCAUCACAAGUAGCAGAGAGAAACUAGCUCUUCCAACAGGCAAUCGGGCAACCAUUAUUUGGGGAGUGUUAUACACACAUUCCACAUUGAGCUCUGUACACAAUCUUCCCAAAUUUUCUCAUUGACAAAAUUGAAUUUAGUAGUCUCAAUUAGAGCAAAAAUUCUCCCUUACUUUGAAUUAUUGAACUUUCUUGUUUUUGGUGGUUUAACAAAUAGUAUUGCAUAGAUGAUCUCAAUAACACAUCAAGUAAUACAGUGGUCGGUCUCUGAUAAUACAACCAAUGCCCCAAGAAGAUGGACACGGACAUUUUUGGAAAUUAAGUACGUUAUAAACUCUCGUGAUUUAAGACAAGAUAGCUCUAAAGGAAGAGUCUUCAAGCCGUCACUAGUCGAGGUGUCAACAACCGAUGAUGUCGAGCACCGUUGACAAAACUGUAACGGCUAGUUUUCAAAAUAUGAUAUUAAAGGGAAUAUUCUAGUGGAUAUUCUCUUAGAGUACUAUUAGGGUUUUGUUAAGAAAAUGUUUGAUAGAAAUAGAAAAGGAGAGAAUGGUGGAAGGGGGAUAUUCAUUUUGUAAGAACACACUUUGACAAAAGAUUCUCUCACUACAAUACAAACAAUACCUUUUUCACCAAGAUUCUUGUCUAUAUUAUUUCAUAUUUUCCACCAGAUCCGAGGAUAAUUCGAAUAUUCAAGGAUUUGUUUGUCAUUCAUCAUUACCAGAAGGAGUAACACCUAAAUUCUCCUUUAUUGGGUGAAUCACACCUUUUAUUUAAUCG